RNAcentral lists this ribosomal RNA (853 nucleotides) under uncultured bacterium. Its description in RNAcentral is "bacterial SSU rRNA". It matches the Rfam family "Bacterial small subunit ribosomal RNA", at positions 524 to 1374 of the family's 1533-position model. The record is from RNAcentral.
UACGGAGGGUGCAAGCGUUACUCGGAAUUACUGGGCGUAAAGGACGCGUAGGCGGUUUAGAAAGUCAGAUGUGAAAGCCUAUGGCUUAACCAUAGAACUGCAUUUGAAACUUCUAAACUAGAGUGAGGGAGAGGUCAGUGGAAUUAGUGGUGUAGGGGUAAAAUCCGUAGAGAUCACUAGGAAUACUCAUUGCGAAGGCGACUGACUGGAACUUAACUGACGCUGAGGCGUGAAAGCGUGGGGAGCAAACAGGAUUAGAUACCCUGGUAGUCCACGCCCUAAACGAUGUACACUAGUUGUUGUGAUGCUAGUCAUUGCAGUAAUGCAGCUAACGCAUUAAGUGUACCGCCUGGGGAGUACGGUCGCAAGAUUAAAACUCAAAGGAAUAGACGGGGACCCGCACAAGCGGUGGAGCAUGUGGUUUAAUUCGAAGAUACGCGAAGAACCUUACCUAGGCUUGACAUCCUAUUAACAACAUAGAGAUAAGUUGGUGCUAGUUUACUAGAAAAUAGUGACAGGUGCUGCACGGCUGUCGUCAGCUCGUGUCGUGAGAUGUUGGGUUAAGUCCCGCAACGAGCGCAACCCUCGUCGUUAGUUGCUAACAGUUCGGCUGAGCACUCUAACGAGACUGCCUUCGUAAGGAGGAGGAAGGUGAGGACGACGUCAAGUCAUCAUGGCCCUUAUGCCUAGGGCUACACACGUGCUACAAUGGGGAGGACAAUGAGAGGCGAUACCGCGAGGUGGAGCAAAUCUAUAAACCUCUUCUCAGUUCGGAUAGCACUCUGCAACUCGAGUGCUUGAAGCUGGAAUCGCUAGUAAUCGUAGAUCAGCAAUGCUACGGUGAAUACGUUCC